CAGCAGCCGCGGGAAUACGUAGGUCCCGAGCGUUGUCCGGAUUUAUUGGGCGUAAAGCGAGCGCAGGCGGUUAGAUAAGUCUGAAGUUAAAGGCUGUGGCUUAACCAUAGUACGCUUUGGAAACUGUUUAACUUGAGUGCAAGAGGGGAGAGUGGAAUUCCAUGUGUAGCGGUGAAAUGCGUAGAUAUAUGGAGGAACACCGGUGGCGAAAGCGGCUCUCUGGCUUGUAACUGACGCUGAGGCUCGAAAGCGUGGGGCGCAAACAGGAUUAGAUACCCCAGUAGUCCCUGUCUCUUAUACA
RNAcentral lists this ribosomal RNA (301 nucleotides) under uncultured bacterium. RNAcentral's name for it is "partial 16S ribosomal RNA". It matches the Rfam family "Bacterial small subunit ribosomal RNA", at positions 509 to 808 of the family's 1533-position model. The record is from RNAcentral.